AGUGGACUUCCCAUACUGGACACAGCCAUUCAUACUGUGGCACCCAGUCACAUAGGUUUCAGCUAUUGGGUGGAUGGCAUUCCACAUAGAGUCACACACACACAAAGGUUAAGGUCACAUACCAUCACUCUACACCGUCUUUCAUAAUGUCAAUUCUGGGGACUAGAAGUCCAACUUCAAAGUGCCAGAAAGAUCGGUUCCUUCUGAGAGCUGUGAGGAAGAAUCUGUCCCAGGUCUCUUCUCUGGCUUCUGGUGGUGUGCUGGCAAUCUUUGGCAUGUAGAAGCUUCUUGGCCACAAGAACAUGCUACCUGCAUCUUCACAA
Long non-coding RNA from Neofelis nebulosa (Clouded leopard), 323 nucleotides. RefSeq lists it as uncharacterized. Lineage: Eukaryota; Metazoa; Chordata; Mammalia; Carnivora; Felidae. The transcript has 2 exons. The record is from RefSeq and is a predicted model, not a curated record.